AGGGCAUACGGUGGAUGCCUAGGCGCCAAGAGCCGAAGAAGGACGCGGUAAGCUGCGAAAAGCCACGGGGAACUGCAAGCAAGUAUUGAUCCGUGGAUAUCCGAAUGGGGAAACCCGGCCAUCGUCAUGGAUGGUCACCCGCAAGGGAGGGAACCUGGGGAACUGAAACAUCUAAGUACCCGGAGGAAGAGAAAUCAAACGAGAUGCCCACAGUAGCGGCGAGCGAAGAGGGCAGAGCCCAAACCGAGAAGCUCCGGCUUUUCGGGGUUGAGGACCGGCAGAAUCGAAGUCAGGCCUAGUUGAAUUACCUGGAAAGGUAAGCGAGAGAGGGUAAAAGCCCCGUAGACGAAAGGCAGAGCAGAGAGGCCGAGAUCCAGAGUACCACGAAGCACGAGGAAUUUUGUGGGAAGCAGGGGGGACCACCCUCCAAGGCUAAAAACUACUUGGCGACCGAUAGCGCAUAGUACCGUGAGGGAAAGGUGAAAAGAACCCCGGGAGGGGAGUGAAAUAGUACCUGAAACCGUAUGUCUACAAGCAGUCGAAGCGAAAGCGACGGCGUGCCUAUUGAAGAAUGAACCAACGAGUUAUCUGCACUAGCGAGGUUAAGUGGAAGACACGGAGCCGCAGCGAAAGCGAGUCUUAAGAGGGCGCUAGUUAGUGUAGGUAGACCCGAAACCGCAGUGAUCUACCCAUGUCCAGGUUGAAGCGCAGGUAAAAUUGCGUGGAGGACCGAACCGGUGAGCGUUGAAAAGCUUUCGGAUGAGAUGUGGGUAGGGGUGAAAUUCCAAUCGAACGCGGAGAUAGCUGGUUCUCCCCGAAAUAGCUUUAGGGCUAGCCUGAGGUAGUAAGUAUAGGCGGUAGAGCACUGAUCGGGCUAGGGGCCGUAAAGGUUACCGAACCCUGUCAAACUCCGAAUGGAUAUACUGUAGAGCCUUGGAGUCAGACUACGAGUGAUAAGAUCCGUGGUCAAAAGGGAAACAGCCCAGACCACCAGCUAAGGUCCCCAAUGUCGUACUAAGUGGAAAAGGAUGUGGGGUUUCAUAAACAACCAGGAUGUUGGCUCAGAAGCAGCCACCAUUUAAAGAGUGCGUAAUAGCUCACUGGUCGAGAGACCCUGCGCCGAAGAUUCCCGGGGCUAAAGUACGAAACCGAAGCUGUGGCUGUAUACGUAAAGUAUACGGGGUAGGGGAGCGUUCCCAUAGGGUAGAAGUCGAACUGGAAGGUUCGGUGGACUUGUGGGAAGUGAGAAUGUUGGUAUGAGUAGCGAAAAGAAAGGUGAGAAUCCUUUCCACCGAAAGCAUAAGGAUUCCUGAGCAACGAUCGUCGUCUCAGGGUAAGUCGGGACCUAAUCCGAGGCAGAGAGCGUAGGAGAUGGACAACUGGUUGAUAUUCCAGUACCGGUAGUAAUUGUUUGAGCAAUGGAGUGACACAGAAGGGCAGGCAAGCAUGCGAAUGGAAGAGCAUGUGUAAGCGUGUAGGGUGGUGCAUAGGCAAAUCCGUGCACUGAAAGCCUGAGGCGUGAUGCGGAGUGAGCAGAGAUGCGAGCGAAGUUGUUGACCCCACACUGUCGAGAAAAGCUUCUAGUGAGAGAGCUACCGCCCGUACCGUAAACCGACACAGGUAUGCGGGGAGAGAAUCCUAAGGUGCGCGGGAGAACCCUCGUUAAGGAACUCGGCAAAAUGUACCCGUAACUUCGGGAUAAGGGUAGCCACUGUUGUGAAGUCCCAUGCGGAUGGAGCAUAGAGUGGUCGCAGAGAAGAGGCCCAAGCGACUGUUUACCAUAAACACAGGUGCCUGCUAAAGCGAAAGCUGACGUAUAGGUGCUGACACCUGCCCAGUGCCGGAAGGUUAAGGAAGGAUGUUCGGAUUAGUCCAAAGCAUUCGACUGAAGCCCCGGUGAACGGCGGCCGUAACUAUAACGGUCCUAAGGUAGCGAAAUUCCUUGUCGGGUAAGUUCCGACCCGCACGAAAGGUGUAACGAUUUGGGCACUGUCUCAACGAGGGACCCGGUGAAAUUGAAAUACCUGUGAAGAUGCAGGUUACCCGCGACUGGACAGAAAGACCCCAUGGAGCUUUACUGUAACCUGACAUUGGGUUUUGAUACAUUACGUACAGGAUAGGUGGGAGGCUUGGAAAGUUGGACGCUAGUCUGACUGGAGCCGACGUUGGGAUACCACCCUUGAUGUAUUGAAAUUCUAACCGCGAGAGUAACGAAAUCCGGGACAGUGUCAGGCGGGCAGUUUGACUGGGGCGGUCGCCUCCGAAAGAGUAACGGAG
Molecule: ribosomal RNA, 2277 nt
Filed under: human gut metagenome
Description: bacterial LSU rRNA
Rfam family: Bacterial large subunit ribosomal RNA
Source: RNAcentral